AAACAGUGAAGGAUACUGACCAGGUGGAACCAGAGAGCAUCCCAACGUCAGUCAGCACCAGGACACCUAGAUAAGAACCUUUCUGCCAUGAUGAUGAAGAUCUGUUUCAUCCUUCUUCUGCUUGUUGUUGCUCUAGCAACAAGAUCAGCUGCCCAAGCUACAACCACAGCUGCCCCGACGACCACCACCACAGCUGCCCCAACGACUACAACCACAGCUGCCCC
This is a long non-coding RNA of Acanthopagrus latus (yellowfin seabream), 224 nucleotides long. RefSeq lists it as uncharacterized. The transcript has 3 exons. The record is from RefSeq and is a predicted model, not a curated record. Lineage: Eukaryota; Metazoa; Chordata; Actinopteri; Spariformes; Sparidae.